UAGUCCACGCCCUAAACGAUGAACACUAGUCGUCGGGGAGCUAGUCUCUUCGGUGAUGCACUUAACAGAUUAAGUGUUCCGCCUGGGGAGUACGGUCGCAAGAUUAAAACUCAAAGGAAUAGACGGGGACCCGCACAAGUGGUGGAGCAUGUGGUUUAAUUCGAAGAUACGCGAAGAACCUUACCUAGCCUUGACAUUGAUAGAACACCGUAGAGAUACAGUGGUGCCCUUCGGGGAACUUGAAAACAGGUGCUGCACGGCUGUCGUCAGCUCGUGUCGUGAGAUGUUGGGUUAAGUCCCGCAACGAGCGCAACCCUCGUCCUUAGUUGCCAGCAGUUAGGCUGGGCACUCUAAGGAGACUGCCUUCGCAAGGAGGAGGAAGGUGAGGACGACGUCAAGUCAUCAUGGCCCUUAUGGCUAGGGCUACACACGUGCUACAAUGGGGCGUACAGAGAGUUGCGAUACCGCGAGGUGGAGCCAAUCUCAUAAAGCGUCU
This 496-nucleotide ribosomal RNA is filed under the name uncultured bacterium. Its description in RNAcentral is "bacterial SSU rRNA". It matches the Rfam family "Bacterial small subunit ribosomal RNA", at positions 791 to 1286 of the family's 1533-position model. The record is from RNAcentral.